Molecule: long non-coding RNA, 298 nt
Filed under: Vigna radiata
Lineage: Eukaryota; Viridiplantae; Streptophyta; Magnoliopsida; Fabales; Fabaceae
Description: long non-coding RNA (VRAD_LNC011384)
Source: RNAcentral
AAGNCAUCAAACGAUAUGAGCUUAGAGCAAUACACUUGAUUUUUGUUGAUUCUCUAGUUUUCUUUCUUCUCUUCUUUGAGCAUUUGUUUUAGACGUUAUAAGCAUAAAGAUGAACUUCAUAGUAGAUUUUCAACAAGGCUUAUGUUUCUUCUUUUUCUCUUUUCUUUUCUUCUUUUUUCUUUUUUUCUUUUUUCUUCUCAUCUCAUUUUUUCUGAAAGCCUCAAACAUUGCAUGCUUCGAGAUUGAGUAGAAAUCUAGAUAUGAAAUGAUGGAUCUUUCCUUCACUCUUGCUCAUUAC